This 253-nucleotide ribosomal RNA is filed under the name uncultured bacterium. RNAcentral describes it as "partial 16S ribosomal RNA". It matches the Rfam family "Bacterial small subunit ribosomal RNA", at positions 524 to 776 of the family's 1533-position model. The record is from RNAcentral.
UACGAAGGGUGCAAGCGUUACUCGGAAUUACUGGGCGUAAGGCGUGCGUAGGUGGUUCGUUAAGUCUGUCGUGAAAGCCCCGGGCUCAACCUGGGAAUGGCGAUGGAUACUGGCGGGCUAGAGUGCGGUAGAGGAGAGUGGAAUUCCCGGUGUAGCAGUGAAAUGCGUAGAGAUCGGGAGGAACAUCAGUUGCGAAGGCGGCUCUCUGGACCAGCACUGACACUGAGGCACGAAAGCGUGGGGAGCAAACAGG